RNAcentral lists this ribosomal RNA (253 nucleotides) under uncultured bacterium. RNAcentral's name for it is "partial 16S ribosomal RNA". It matches the Rfam family "Bacterial small subunit ribosomal RNA", at positions 524 to 776 of the family's 1533-position model. The record is from RNAcentral.
UACGGAGGGAGCUAGCGUUAUUCGGAAUUACUGGGCGUAAAGCGCACGCAGGCGGCUUUGUAAGUCAGAGGUGAAAGCCUGGAGCUCAACUCCAGAAUAGCCUUUUAGACUGCAUCGCUUGAAUCAUGGAGAGGUGAGUGGAAUUCCGAGUGUAGAGGUGAAAUUCGUAGAUAUUCGGAAGAACACCAGUGGCGAAGGCGGCUCACUGGACAUGUAUUGACGCUGAGGUGCGAAAGCGUGGGGAGCAAACAGG